GAAGUGUCCAAGUGCAGUGGUGUUUACAGUAUCUCAACCAGUUAUAGAUUGCUUUGUUCCUGCUCCACUCCCGCUAGUUCACUUGACUAGCCUUAA
This 96-nucleotide non-coding RNA is filed under the name Otolemur garnettii (small-eared galago). The record is from RNAcentral. Lineage: Eukaryota; Metazoa; Chordata; Mammalia; Primates; Galagidae.